Molecule: ribosomal RNA, 503 nt
Filed under: uncultured bacterium
Lineage: Bacteria
Description: partial 16S ribosomal RNA
Rfam family: Bacterial small subunit ribosomal RNA
Source: RNAcentral
AUUGAACGCUGGCGGCAGGCUCAACACAUGCAAGUCGAGCGGGGUGAUGGUGCUUGCACUAUCACUUAGCGGCGGACGGGUGAGUAAUGCUUAGGAAUCUGCCUAUUAGUGGGGGACAACAUCUCGAAAGGGAUGCUAAUACCGCAUACGUCCUACGGGAGAAAGCAGGGGAUCACUUGUGACCUUGCGCUAAUAGAUGAGCCUAAGUCGGAUUAGCUAGUUGGUGGGGUAAAGGCCUACCAAGGCGACGAUCUGUAGCGGGUCUGAGAGGAUGAUCCGCCACACUGGGACUGAGACACGGCCCAGACUCCUACGGGAGGCAGCAGUGGGGAAUAUUGGACAAUGGGGGGAACCCUGAUCCAGCCAUGCCGCGUGUGUGAAGAAGGCCUUAUGGUUGUAAAGCACUUUAAGCGAGGAGGAGGCUCUUUUGGUAAAUACCCAAGAUGAGUGGACGUUACUCGCAGAAUAAGCACCGGCUAACUCUGUGCCAGCAGCCGCAGUAA